Molecule: ribosomal RNA, 414 nt
Filed under: uncultured microorganism
Description: bacterial SSU rRNA
Rfam family: Archaeal small subunit ribosomal RNA
Source: RNAcentral
CAGCCGCCGCGGUAAUACCGGCGGCCCGAGUGGCGGUCACUAUUAUUGGGCUUAAAGCGUCCGUAGCCGGGUUGGGAAGUCCUCCGGGAAAUCUGGCCGCUUAACGGUCAGAAUGCCGGAGGAUACUCCCAGCCUAGGGAGCGGGGGAGGCCGAGGGUAUUCCCGGAGUAGGGGUGAAAUCCUAUAAUCCCGGGAGGACCACCUGUGGCGAAGGCGCUCGGCUGGAACGCGUCCGACGGUGAGGGACGAAGGCCAGGGGAGCAAACCGGAUUAGAUACCCGGGUAGUCCUGGCUGUAAACGAUGCGGACUUUGUGUCGGACAAGCUAUGAGCUUGUCCGGUGCCGGAGGGAAACCGUUAAGUCCGCCGCCUGGGGAGUACGGCCGCAAGGCUGAAACUUAAAGGAAUUGGCGGG